This 58-nucleotide transfer RNA is filed under the name Callithrix jacchus (white-tufted-ear marmoset). It matches the Rfam family "tRNA", at positions 8 to 63 of the family's 71-position model. Rfam says of the family: Transfer RNA (tRNA) molecules are approximately 80 nucleotides in length. Their secondary structure includes four short double-helical elements and three loops (D, anti-codon, and T loops). Lineage: Eukaryota; Metazoa; Chordata; Mammalia; Primates; Cebidae. The record is from Rfam by way of RNAcentral.
UAGCUCAAUUGGUAGAGCAUGGGACUCUUAAUCCCAGGGUCGUGGGUUCGAGCUCCAU